RNA transcript from Chelonia mydas (Green sea turtle), 3528 nucleotides. It is a transcript of the gene named protein-L-isoaspartate (D-aspartate) O-methyltransferase, with no coding region annotated. The transcript is spliced from 9 exons. NCBI's taxonomy places the organism in Eukaryota, Metazoa, Chordata, Testudines, Cheloniidae. The record is from RefSeq and is a predicted model, not a curated record.
CGGCCCCUCCCCCCGGCGGGCGCGCGGCUGCGGAGGAGGCGGUGCCUGAGUCGGCGCUAGAGGUUGUGUCGUUCCUUGGCAAGCUUCUCUGCGCAGUCGCGGCGCUGAAGGCGGCUCUCUACCUCCUCCGCAGAGUGUGUCUAGCGAUGGCCUGGAAGUCAGGAGGCUCCAGCCACUCCGAGCUCAUCCACAACCUGCGCAAAAAUGGAAUAAUCAAAUCAGAUAAAGUAUAUGAAGUAAUGCUGGCUACAGACCGUUGCCACUAUGCAAAAUGCAACCCUUAUAUGGACUCUCCUCAAUCAAUAGGUUUCCAAGCAACUAUCAGUGCCCCACACAUGCAUGCGUAUGCUCUAGAACUGCUAUCUGAACAGUUACAUGAAGGAGCCAAAGCCCUUGAUGUAGGAUCUGGAAGUGGAAUUCUUACAGCAUGUUUUUCGCGGAUGGUUGGUCUCCAAGGACGAGUUGUAGGAAUUGAUCAUAUCAAAGAGUUAGUAGAUGACUCAAUAAAUAAUGUCAAAAAGGAUGAUCCUACAUUACUGUCUUCAGGAAGAGUGAAACUGAUUGUGGGGGAUGGAAGAAUGGGAUAUCCAGAAGAAGCUCCCUAUGAUGCUAUUCAUGUCGGAGCUGCAGCCCCGGUUGUGCCCCAAGCACUCAUAGACCAAUUAAAACCUGGUGGAAGAUUGAUAUUACCAGUCGGCCCUGCAGGUGGAAACCAGAUGCUGGAACAAUAUGAUAAACUAGAAGAUGGCAGUGUCAAAAUGAAGCCUUUGAUGGGAGUGAUAUAUGUGCCUUUAACAGAUAAAGAGAAGCAAUGGUCCAGGUGGAAGUGAUUUUCUGUUCCACUUUCUUCUUCCACAGAUACACGCAUACAAGCCUUUUGUGCAGGUACCGAGAAUAAUUGGACCAUAAUUUCAAACAAGUCUCUCUCCAGUAAAUGGCCCAAUGUGUAAGACAGUCACUUCUUCAGACAACAGGGAUGAAUUGUAAAAGCUACAUCAUCUUGACCCAAACAUAGUGUUACAGUGGACUUCCCAUCUCCAGUUCUAAAAGCUUUUUGAAAACCAACAGCAUUGCAGCUUGUUUUGGAUUUUGUUAUACUGUUAUCAGCAUGGAAAAGCGUGGUGUUUUUAUUUCAUUUUUUUAGAGGCUUAAGGCAAAUCUGGCAAAGAAUUGGUGGAAAGUUUAAAUUUGGGCUGUUUCUUUUAACAUGCCUUUUUAAAUUUCAUCUUGUUAAAGAAAUGAAUUUCUGCAAAAAUGCGAAGACCUACAGUUUGUGAACUCUUUAAUUUUGAUGGCUGAUACUUUUUGAACACUUUAUUUCAGCUCCAUUGUUCCUUGGUAAAAUUGCUUCUGUGCACCUUAUAACACUACAUACACAAUGGCAGGUUCUCUAUGUUCAGAUGUCUGCUAAAUGUUACUAAGAAAAUGAGAUGAACUUCCUUUUCAAAGCUUGUGACAUGGUGUCAUAGACUAGCAUGUAGUAGAUACAAUCAGCUGCGUUAUUAUCUUAAAAGUGGGCAUUUGUAUAUAUUAAACUUCAAGACAUCAGAGGUGACAGCUCUUGUUAUAAACUCUAUGGUUCAGGUUGGACAUAACUGACAUAGUUUUUUCCUUCCUUGUCAAGAAAUUAGAGGAAACUUGUAGCUCAGUAUUGUUUUGUAGCUCACUGCUGAUAUGUAUAUGAAUUUAGCAUAACAAAUGCUGUGUAAGCUAUGUCCUAAUCACUGAACAGUUUAUGCAGUGCUGCUUUGCCAAAUAAAGUUAAAAGCAAAAAAGGAUUUUGUGUGCUUCUUGUAUGGAGAUCAGGAUCAGUAUGUUAAAUGUAACUGCUUGAAAUGCAGAACACUACUCCAAUAAAAUUAACAUCCAUAUUUAAAAAUUAGUUGCUUUUGACACCAGAUUUCUGCAGUAUAAUCUACAUUCUUCUUCCAGCUACAGAUAGUGAUGGAAAAAAAUUGGAUUAAUGUUUUAGGGGAACUUACAUUUUUAUAGAAGAGAAAAAAAGCUGAUAAAUAGUGAAGAACUGAUGGAUCGCCAAACCCUGACCAAAUAAAUAUAUACUACACUACAAACUCUACAAAUAUCCAUUUUGAAGAGUAAUUGAAAGGCUUUUUUUAAUGUUCUCAAGACCCAGGUUUUAUGUUCUGUGUUUGCUGCAGUUAAUGACGUCAGGAAAACCCAAAGCACAUUAAAAACUAUAUAGCUCUUGGAUUGCUUUAGGGGUGUAUAUGUUCUUCCUAAAAAGAAAAGGAGUACUUGUGGCACCUUAGAGACUAACCAGUUUAUUUGAGCGUAAGCUUUCGUGAGCAUAAGCAUCCGAUGAAGUGAGCUGUAGCUCACGAAAGCUUAUGCUCAAAUAAACUGGUUAGUCUCUAAGGUGCCACAAGUACUCCUUUUCUUUUUGCGAAUACAGACUAACACGGCUGUUACUCUGAAACCUAUGUUCUUCCCGCAACUCCUGGUCAUUAGCGUUUGAGUGGUAAAAUACAUUUUAAGCUCUUUGUGUUUUUUAUUACAAAGAAGCAGAGCUAAAUUAAUAAGAACCUGAAUAAUUUGGUUCAAAGAGGCCACUGUUUCUUUUUGAAAAAUAUUCAGCCUGCUUUUGUUCGAACAGACAUAUUUUCUGUGAUAAGAGUUAAUCAUUGAAAGUAUGAAGGGUAUUAUUGAAAGGGCUCUGAAAUGUGAAAGAAUAAGUAAAUUACCUUCAUGUGAAUGUCAGUCCCUCCUAUUCCUGUGUAAAAUAUGUCAUAUAAUUUAAUAUUGAUAUUUAGGAGGCUAACAUACGACCUCCCCCAUAUCUUUUAAUUGAAGCUUGGGAGCACAUACACAAUAUUAAUCCUACAGGGGAGACUAAUUUCAAAUUAAGGAAGUUACUUGAUUACUUAGUGCUUGUUCUAGAAAAUACAGUGAAGAAAAAUGGGUUUGCAUCUGAUGUCAAAUUUGUGCUAAUUGACAAUCAACUGUGAAUAUAUUUUUAGUAUUGAAGUGAAAUAUCUGAAAUGAUGCAUGCAGCAGGAUAAAAUCUCUCAACAGAUAACACCAUCUUAAUCCUAAUUUUUAGCCUUUUGGUCACUGUCAUUCUAAUUUACUGAGUUCUCAACUUUCCCUCUUCUCACUAAUUUAAUGUUAAAUUCAGAAUAAGAAGUCAAAUGUAUCCAAAUUCUUCUCUUUAGACAAAGUGUAACAAGCUAGCCUACGUUGGGUGAGGUGGUAGACAUGAUCCAAAAUUUUCUUUGUAAAAGACCCACAUUGCAGGAGCUAUAAGACUUCUGGGACUAAGGCUGUUGGGGGUUAAUAUGCCUGCUCCACUGGAAGGAGUGAUGCUUGCCACAUUAUUUUCAUCUGAAUCUAGGGGGAGCAUUGAGAGAGUCUGGAAGUUGAGAUUCCUCCAUGGUGAAGGAAGCAAUGGUUCUGGUUUAAAGGCUUCUUGGAGAAGAGAAGUUGAAAUGCAGAGGAUUUAAAGAGCUUGAAUAAAUGCGGUAUAAACUAUCUGAAUUGCUACUUUGCCAAAUAAAAUUAAAAGUGAGA